AUGGAGCACCCGCAGCCAGUCACCAUGCCCGGCCAUGGAGUCGAGACCGUCCUCGACGACCUUCCCGAGUCGAUCGUCGUCGACGAGAUCCUUGUCCGUUUGCCGGCCAGGGACAUCAUGCGCUGCCGCUGCGUCCGUAAGGGAUGGCGCAGUGCCACCUCCGCCGACAAGUUCAUGCUGGACCACCGCCGCCGCCAGCCCUUUCUCCCGGUGCUCGGUCACGCCGUGGAGCCGCAGACGGCGUCCCGCCUCUUGCUUUCCAUUGACGCCGGUGCAGGCCAGCAACAGCUCUGCCCCGUGGUCCGGACAUACAGCGGUAGACUCCUGGCUGCCCUUGAUGGGCUCAUCAUCGUCUCCCAUGGAUCCAUGAGUGUGCGAACUCCUUCGUCUCCUCCGGUAAAAUUCUUCAUCUGCAACCCGGUCACCCGUGAGUGUGCUCCCCUAGGGACGCCUCCAAGCCAGCAUGGAUUUAUGCACCACAUCGCAGGCUUGUAUCGGCACCAACCAUCCGGGGAAUACCGGGUGCUUUGGGUCUCUACUCCGAGGUACUUUGACAGAGCAGACACAGCAUACACCACAUUUUACUACGUCGCAGCAGUGGGAUCCAGUGACAUAAGAUGCAUCGCAGAAGGUAGCAUCGCACAGACAACACCCUUGGAAACGGCGUUGUGUAAGGGCCUGCCGGAUUCGUCGGGUUGUCCACCAGUCCACCACCGUGGUAGCCUGCACUGGGGACUUCCCGGCCGCUCAAUAGUGGUGUUCAACACAGCAGCCGAAACAUUCUGGUUGAUGGGUCGUCUAUUCCAGCUGUACUUCCACCAGUUGUUGGAGAUGGAUGGCACUCUUGCUUUGUGCAGCGUCAGUCCUGAACAAAUGACCGUAGAUGUUUGGGUGGUACAAGACUAUGGCGCCGAAACAACGGAGACCUGGUCUUUCAAGCAUCAGAUUAAUUUGUCGGGUGUUGACGAUCCAAUACCACGUUCAUGGGUGAUGAGGUUCCCCAGGAUGGUUGUGCUCAAUAACGGUGAGCUGCUAAUCCAAUUCAUUCGUGGUUGUGGGCCUGUGUUGCAUUGUGGCAUCGAUGGCAAGUUCUUAGGAUAUGUGAAAAGCAAGGAUGGCCAAGUAAUCGGCUUGUGGAUUACCAAGCAUUACCUCCAGGAGAGCCUUAUUCCCCUUCCACUAUCCCGUGAGAUGAGAGAAGAAGAUAGUGCAACUCAGGGGCCUCCAUUUUUUGUAGGGCUCUAA
This 1245-nucleotide ribosomal RNA is filed under the name Triticum aestivum (bread wheat). Its description in RNAcentral is "partial small subunit ribosomal RNA". The record is from RNAcentral. Lineage: Eukaryota; Viridiplantae; Streptophyta; Magnoliopsida; Poales; Poaceae.